AAUUGGUGGUCCACAGUGUGCACAAGCUGCAAACGUCUGCUUCCCUUGGCUACAACAGGCGAUGGAAACUGCCUCUUGCAUGCUGCCUCUUUAGGGAUGUGGGGUUUUCAUGAUCGGGACCUUGUCUUGCGUAAAGCACUCUACACUAUGAUGAGAACUGGAGCUGAAAGGGAAGCCCUGAAAAGAAGAUGGAGAUGGCAACAGACUCAGCAGAAUAAGGAGUCGGGCUUAGUAUAUACAGAGGAAGAGUGGGAACGGGAAUGGAAUGAACUGCUUAAGCUGGCGUCAAGUGAGCCGCGCACCCACUUCAGCAAGAACGGAGGCAC
Non-coding RNA from Tinamus guttatus (white-throated tinamou), 326 nucleotides. Lineage: Eukaryota; Metazoa; Chordata; Aves; Tinamiformes; Tinamidae. The record is from RefSeq and is a predicted model, not a curated record.